GUGUGAGUGUGAGGCACACGACCCAUCUGCCAGGGCGCCGUACCAGGCGCAGAUGCAUUGCUCUGCGUACGCGGCACCAUGCACAAUUGUGCAAUGCAACAAGCGUAAAAUGCCUACUUACAUAAGCGCCUAGCCCUACACGCGUGUUAACGCGCUAUCUAAGCGCGAAGGCUAGCUGUGUGUGCGCGCCAGACUUAGACCACGAGUGGUCCAUUGGGCCUCAUGGUACUGACCAACUACCACCUACCGCUGGCCAACCGCUACCUACUGCUACCCUACUGUUGUUGUCGCUGCCUUAA
This 299-nucleotide long non-coding RNA is filed under the name Carica papaya (papaya). RNAcentral's name for it is "long non-coding RNA (CPAP_LNC000815)". The record is from RNAcentral. Lineage: Eukaryota; Viridiplantae; Streptophyta; Magnoliopsida; Brassicales; Caricaceae.